GUCCACGCUGUAAACGAUGGGCACUAGGCGUCGGGGGGAGCGACCCUCCCGGUGCCGUCGCUAACGCAAUAAGUGCCCCGCCUGGGGAGUACGGCCGCAAGGUUGAAACUCAAAGGAAUUGACGGGGGCCCGCACAAGCGGUGGAGCAUGUGGUUUAAUUCGAUGCAACGCGAAGAACCUUACCUGGGCUUGACAUGCACGUGAAAGCCGGUGGAAACACCGGUCCUCCUUCGGGACGCGUGCACAGGUGCUGCAUGGCUGUCGU
RNAcentral lists this ribosomal RNA (265 nucleotides) under uncultured bacterium. RNAcentral describes it as "partial 16S ribosomal RNA". It matches the Rfam family "Bacterial small subunit ribosomal RNA", at positions 793 to 1055 of the family's 1533-position model. The record is from RNAcentral.